This 322-nucleotide ribosomal RNA is filed under the name uncultured Imbricatea. RNAcentral's name for it is "SSU rRNA". The stretch from base 104 to 322 matches the Rfam family "Eukaryotic small subunit ribosomal RNA", at positions 736 to 955 of the family's 1831-position model. Lineage: Eukaryota; Cercozoa; Imbricatea. The record is from RNAcentral.
GAUUUCUGGUUUGACGUGGCUGGCCCGCCGGGGUUACCUGGUGAGUGCCGGUUCAGGUCUGCCAUCCUUCUAGAGAACGGCCUUACCCUUCACUGGGCCGGGGUCGCCAUCUAGAUCUUUUACUUUGAAAAAAUUAGAGUGUUUAAAGCAGGCUUACGCUAUGAAUACAUUAGCAUGGAAUAAUAAUUUAGGACUUCGGUCUCUAUUUUGUUGGUUUCUAGAGCUGAAGUAAUGAUUGAUAGGGAUAGUUGGGGGUGCUAGUAUUCAGCGGCCAGAGGUGAAAUUCUUGGAUUCGCUGAAGACUAACUUAUGCGAAAGCAUU